GUUGGCAACAGCAAGGAGUGUGAAAGUAAGGGGAGAAAAGGAGAACUAUUGCAGGAAUAUACCAGGAAAGCCAGGAAAAUCCACAGACCCUUUGAAGGAACUGGAUCACCACCGCAGGUUCCCUGAGACACUAAAAAACUGUGAGUCAGAUUUCUUUCUCAACAGGGAGGCUCAUGGUCUGGUCCAAGUUCUCAG
RNAcentral lists this long non-coding RNA (195 nucleotides) under Callithrix jacchus (white-tufted-ear marmoset). Its description in RNAcentral is "lncRNA (ENSCJAG00000076864.1)". The record is from RNAcentral. Lineage: Eukaryota; Metazoa; Chordata; Mammalia; Primates; Cebidae.